CCUACGGGAGGCAGCAGUGAGGAAUAUUGGUCAAUGGGCUUACGCCUGAACCAGCCAAGUCGCGUGAGGGAAGACUGCCCUAUGUGUUUUAAACCUCUUUUGCCAGGGAGCAACUCCCGCUACGUGUAGCCGGACUGAGAGCUCCCUAAGUAACAGCAUCGGCUAACUCCGUUCAAGCAGCCGCGGUAAUACGGAUUAUGCGAGCGUUAUCCGGAUUUAGUGGGUGAAAAGGGUGCGUAUGCGGAAUGCCAAGUCAGCGGUAAAAUUGCGGUGCUAACCUUCGCUCCGCCGGUGAAACUGGCGUUCUUGAGUGGAGGAGAAGGAAGCGGAAGGCGUAGUGUAGCGGUGAAAUGCGUAGAUAUCAGGAAGAACACCGAUUGCGAAGGCAGCAUACCGGAGACCAACUGACGCUGAGGCACGAAAGCGUGGGGAGCGAACAGGAUUAGAUACCCGUGUAGUC
RNAcentral lists this ribosomal RNA (460 nucleotides) under uncultured bacterium. Its description in RNAcentral is "partial 16S ribosomal RNA". It matches the Rfam family "Bacterial small subunit ribosomal RNA", at positions 338 to 795 of the family's 1533-position model. The record is from RNAcentral.